Molecule: long non-coding RNA, 3375 nt
Filed under: Sus scrofa (pig)
Lineage: Eukaryota; Metazoa; Chordata; Mammalia; Artiodactyla; Suidae
Description: lncRNA (ENSSSCG00000052854.1)
Source: RNAcentral
GUAUUUCACAAGGAUAACAACUAAAGGAUUCAGAGAAUUUCUAUCAUUUUCUUACUCAGAGAAGUCACUGCCAACAUAGUCAUGAAAGGGAAUCUAUUCUGAACAACAACCAAAAUUUUAGUCUCAUAUCAUGGAGUGAAAAAUUGUAAGAACCAGAGCCAGCUCCUCUUAAUUUUGACUUCAUAUUUUGCUGUUUAAUGUAGAAUUUUGGAUAACCUCUGGAUUCAGUGCAAUGAAGAAUAAUCUGGUGUAGUGAAAUCUACAAGAACCGACUUGACUUGGAAAUAACUUACUGGCUUAUAGGGAGUCAUCCACAAUUUUAACUUUGGAGGUAAAUGAGGCAUGAUGUUAUUGUUUGUUCUAUUUGUUAUCCAGGGAUUUUGAUAGUAAAAAUGGAUGUUGAAUAAGAAUUUCUUUAUUAUGAAAGCUUUGGUAUUAGUAAUAUAAUUGACUGGGACUUGGAAUUUUAUGAAAGCAAAUACCCUUUCCUCUGUUCUUGUUUUGAAUAUGUGUAUUCAUUUAAUGCUUACUUAAGAAUGUGGGAUCUUGUUCACUAUUGCUCUUCAGGGUACUUUGAAGAAAAUGCCAUUUUAUGAAUCCAUCAAAGGUAUUAACAAAGCUAACAUCUUGGCUGUUUUAUGAAUACCUAUAUUUUAUGAAUAUACAAGGUUGUCAGAAAUUUAUUUUUUCCAUUUUAUUUUCGUAGAAAUUUCUGUAUUGAAAAGUGUAAGACUGCAAAGAUUAGAGAAACAUAUCAAGGGAAAAUGAUGUCCCAAUGAUUCAUAGAUAUUUUCUCUAGACAUUCAAGAGAUGGUAUGCUACACAGUUCCUGGAACAUAGCUAGAGCUCUGAUAUAUUAUUUUUGGUUGACAUGGUUGCCCUUCACAGUCAGAGGUGAAUGUAGGAUGUGAAAAGUAAAUAUAGUCUGAAAGGCUGUAGCACUUAAUAUUCUUUGUAUCACCUACUGUCAGGAUACCCUACUCCCCCUCCCCUGACCCAGCUUAUUUUCAAAAGGUCCAAAGUGUGAUGAAGCAUGGGGAGGGACUAGGAGUGUCUGAGCAUGGGAAAAGAGAAAAGAAAGAUGAGAUGUGAACUGGGAGCAAGGCUCAGAAUUGGAAGUGAAAGUAUAUUCUGCCAGUAAACUAUUUGGGAAAAGUGGUAUAAUCUAUGGGAUAUAUGUAGAUAAAGAUAUAGAUGUAGAUAUAUAGAUAUAUCAGAAUUGGGAUCUAGGGAUUUGGAUCCAAACUGCAAACAUCAUUGGCUUUCCCAAUAUCAGUUGUGUAUUCCCCCGCUCAUGGCUGGGAAGAGGGACCUGAGGGCAUCUAAUCAUUACUUCCUCGUGCUAGAGUAGCUGGAGCUCUGAGGGUAUAAAGCCAUGACUAUCUCCUAAUACUCUGUAUCCCUAAACUCUGCUCACUUUUGGGGUGGGGGUGUAGGGGGUCUCUGGUAGGAUGGAGGGGCCAUUUCUGCGAUAAGGUUAGCUUUUCUAAAAUUACUACAAAUCGCUAAUUUUAAUUAUCAUCAAAACAUAAUAAAGAACUCCUUUGGGGGAAAAAAAGACUUCCUUUGGGCAGAGUUUUUAGAAAACCAGAUUCUAAUGUCUGCCUCAUAACUAAUGGGAUAUGUGAAAUGUUGGAUGACAGCCUACGUGCAUCUCAACUGCCUCUUUUAGUAAGCAAAUCAAUCUCUACUGAUAUCCUACUGUUAAGAUUAAAUGAGACCAAAUAGAUACAAUGCUUUGAGAGAAUAAGGCACACAAUCUAUCUGAGCUCUACAACUCAUUUUAUGCUAAUCAUGGAAGGCUCCUCAGAGAAGGCACCCAUGUGUAAAUUCUGAAGCCUUCCCAUGAGAAAAGUCAGCCUUAAGGCUUGGUGCCUGUAUUUUUUGUGUGGUAGGUGCAGGGGAGGGAGGAGGAGUGUGGGAAAUGGUAACAAGACUAAGUGAAGUGAAAUAGUGGUACAGAUGACCAAGGAGUCUUCUUAUGAGAGUCUCUUGAACAUUACCUCAGAUUGUGUCUCUGUUGUUUUUUACAUUAAAAUAAAACAGAUCUUUAAGAGAGCUUUUCUUCCUUAUGACAUUGGUAGUUACAGCAAUGUGUCUUUGCACUUAUUUACUCACCAGCUCUUUGAGGAUAGAAGCCAAUUCUCAUAUAUUCUACCUGUAUAACAUACAGCACAGAGCUUUGUGGUGUUUUUUGUCUACCUGUUGAUUUUCCAGCUGUUAUCUGGAGAUGAACGCCUGUUUGCAGAGUAUUAAUGAUAGGCAUGACAGCAGAUAAUAAAAAGAGAUUGUAUAAAUGGUUCAGAGGAUUAUGGCUUCCAUUUCCAAAAAGUGCUUUGAAAGGCCAAAAAAAUUAUUAGUAACUGCCUAAAAACUCAUCAUUUAUAUCUGGACAUCAACCAAGUUUCUGAGAAUUAAAAAAAAAAAUUCACAAAGUGUAUACUUCUUAACAAUGGAGCUUACAUUUCGUCAUCCACAGGACACCUAAUGCCAGUUUUUAAAAAUGUUUUUGAAAUACAGCCUGCAAUGUAAUUAUAGAUGUAAAAUUGUAUCUCCUAGUUCAAAGAGAACUGUUGAAAGAACAGCAGUUGCUUUGUUUUUCUAGAAUGUCAGCAUCAUUAUUUUUAUGGGAUGCUUUGGAGAAACACUAAUUUGUGAAAGAAAAGCAUCCCAGAAGGCAAAUUUGACAGUUUAAAUUCUCAUGUUUACAGUGUUCUGAGGAUCAUAAUUAAUUGAAAGAUAAUGAAAGGCUGAAGACAGCUUUGUUUAACUUCUUCACAGAGCCAGUGAAGUGAUUCUGAAUUAAAUUUUCAAAAUCUGAAAGAAGAAAGUAUACUAUACUUUAGAUAGAAAAACACAGGGUAAUUAAGAGAUUAUGAAAGGCUGAUGAGUGUCCCCAUAGCAUUCUAGUAUAGUUUCAACUGGUUCUAGACUGUAAGAAUAAGCAAAAUCCCUUCCUUCUCACACUGAUAAACACAAACUUACAAAUGGCAUUCCAUUUCUGAACAGACUUAAAUAGUAUGCUAGUUUAUUAUUGUCUGGAAAGAGAAGCCAAUGAAAAACUGCCAAUCUGGCCCUAGUAAAGAAAUCAAAACCUCAUCUUGUCUUAAAGUCAGUCAUUUUUGGUAGGUUUAAUAACUAAACCAAUCUGUGGGCACAUCUUAAGGAAUAGAAUCUGUUCUUUACACUGUGGAGUAGUUUUAAGAACAAAAUUAAAAUUAAGGAACAACUGUGAACUUUAGAACCUAGAUUCCUUAAUACUUCCAGGAUAAUUUAUCCUUGAGGGGUUGGGGGCUGGUGAGUAUUUGGUAUUUGGGGGGUUUCUCUCUUCUUUUGCUAUUAUUGGCCCUUGCUUCUUACCCCAUUGAUGCCAGU